CGGUACACAGUACGGUGCUAUAAAUACGCGCAGAGCGCGACCGCCAGCAACUCGAGAGACCUUUUCAGCGGUCAGCUGCUACAGUGAGCGACUGCUACACUCAUUCCAAAACUUCUUAGGUACUGAAGAAUCCACCAGCAUCAUCCUAACCUUAUCCAACAAAGUACGGUUUAACCUUUCCGCUUUACCUAAACUAGGUACUGAAGAAUCUACCAACAUCGUCCUAACCUUAUCCAACAAAGUACGGUUUAACCUUUCUGCUUUACCGUUCUGUUGGGAGGUGUACGGGGCGGAUUAUUCAUGCCUAAUACCCCGUUGCUUGCAAAAUUCCUUUAUUUUUGCGUUCACGAAUUAACCCCCUCCAUCAGUUCGCAUGCCCUGUAAAGUAGAGCCACUUUGCACUUUUAACAAAUUUACGCCCCUCUCAAUGAAGUCCGGGACAUCAGACUUAUGCUUAAUGGGCUGAACUAACGACACUCCAGUAUAGUCAUCCAACAGAGUAACGAAAUACCUAUGGCCACUCGAGGACACAGGCAAAGGACCACAUACAUCCAAAUGCACCAACUGCAACGGUCUCUUAGUUACUGUUGUAGAUGUGGGAAACGGAUCGCGGCUAAAUUUUCCCACCAAACAAGGCUCGCAAUUCCUAACCUCGAAAGCUCUUAAUUGAGCGGCGCAAAAAUUCAAGCCCUUAAGCAAUCCCUCCUGCACCAACCUCUUCAUGUUUGAAAUUCCCAAGUGACAAAGAUGUCGGUGCCACAGCUCCGGCGUCUCAGUAUCUAGGGCCUUUGCGGAGAAGGAAGGGAUGACAGGCUCAGCAGGCCUGGAGGACUCUGCAGCGGGUAUAGCACUACUCAUGAAUCUGUAAAGGCCUUACUCAGAUUUAGUAGCAGAGAUAUGCAGGCCUCCCCUUGAUAUAAUCGCCUGCAUGUUCUUGAAACUAACUCUAAAACCCUUGUUCGUCAGGACUGAAACAGAGAUUAAGUUGUGCUUAAAGUUAGGCACACAGAAAACUCCCUCAAUAGUGAUGUUAGGGGCAUGGGUCGGCACCACAUUCCCGUAACCCUCGGCCUGCAGCACGUUCCUUGUUCAUGAUCGAUAAAUCCGAAUCAAUCCUACAGUAGUCAUGAAGGAUACUCUGGUCGCCCGUAAUGUGGUAUUUGCUGCCGGAGUCCAACCACCACGGGUUCUCAGGAUACUGCGCAACUACCCUUUGAAUCCUCUUGAUAAAAGGUGCCCGCCCCAAAGCUACGGACGCGCUCCUAGGCGGAUUACGCAUGUAGUAAUCUAAACUCUCCUCAUCUCUCGUCUGCUGGGGAACGAAUUGCUGCUCUCGACCCACCAGCAUCAGCACAACAACCUCCAGUUUCCGUUUGGCACUCCUAGGCAAGCCCUGCCACUUACGAUAACACUUUUCGGACAGGUGACCCGUCUUCCCACACCAAUCACACCGCAACUCUGACCCACCGUGCGAGCGACCCGAGCCUGAGGGACCAGAAGCGCUAACCUUCUUAGAGCAGUCCCUCGUGUAGUGGUUGCCGCCACAAACGAAGCAGCUAACCCUAAGGCCACCGUGUCCGGCGUAUAACGCCGUUGCUAUGCCUGGCUCGGUCCUCCUUGCAGUUAGGCGAUUGGCCUCCAUGGCCAAGAGCUUCUCCUUCAGCUCCAGGAAGUUCUUCGGGUAGGCGGACGUGACAAAAACUCUCUUCUCUGAUUUAUACAAGGCAUCAGGCAGGCCACGAACAACUAGCACAAUCACAUUUUUCUCCGAAAUGCGGAAAUCUUUAUAUCUAUUUAGCUUCUCGUACAUAUUGACCGCGCGGGUCACAUAGUCGUGCACCCUUUCGUCAUGGUGCAUCAUGAUGGAGUGGAAAGAUUGUGAUACCGCGCUCAACUCAGCCUCAUUUAAUUGCCCGGCCCACUGCUCAAGGCCCGCCCAGAGAUCCUUAGCUUCGGUGGUUGACUCGAUAAGAAUCUUAUGGUCGACGGAUGCAAGCCAAAGGAUUAUUAGCGCCCGAGCCUUCCUUAUCUUUCUCAUCUCCUUCUCCUGCUCCGUAGGAUCGGCGGGUAGAUUGUAGUCCUGGGUGACGACUGACGCCAGGUCCUCACACUCCAAGAUGGCCUUCAUCUUGAUGAACCAGUCGGCCGAGUUGGCGACCAUCAGCACAUCUCUCCAACCAGCAAUGUCGGACAUUCUCUCAGAAUCACGUAUGACUCAAAAUUGGAAUUUGAAGGUACGAGCUCAACAAAGCGUACGAUCACUGCAGCCACCGCAACGUCAAGCGGGGCUCAUAACCUGUUGUGACUAUUCGUAAAUAGCCAGAAAUAGCUGACACAAGAUCCAGUUAAGCACAAGCUGGAUAAGCGAGCUGACACUAUGCCCUAACUCGAAGGACACUCCAAAGUCCCAGUGAGCAACAGUUGUUACAAUCAGCUUGAUAAUGAAGUCUUGCCUCAGGGUACAAAUAGUACCAAUAGAUCAAGUUCGUACGAUAAGACCCAACUAGCAAUCACACCAAUCGUAGUACAAAGCUUAUCGCGACGACGAGCUAUAAAAGACAACAACCAUAAUCCUAAGAAGUCUGACCGGAAUUAAAACAGUGGGCACAUCGGGAUCAGGGUUUUUCAGAAAACUUAGCUGCUGCUGCACGCUCUGCUGCAUUGGCAACCAUUGAGCGACGGAGUUUCUCGUAAUACUCCAUGCCGCGGCCGGGACGCUUCCGAGGCCGCUUGGGCGGUGGGGACCUUGCCCAGUUAUCAAGCGUAUCUGUUUAUUUUCGCACAGGCCGGGCUACACCCCGUGGAUUGUCAGCACGGGUUCUAUGAGAACGGGAGGUCCUUGGAAGGUUUAUUCGUUGCUGCUGCUCGAUAGAACGAAGAAGUCUGUACGCAAACAGCGUGUUUGUAAUUACUACUAUUAUAAUAAUAGAAAUCAGGUUAGGGUUGCUGGGGUACUAUAAUUUUGCCGUGCGACAAGCCUGAAGAUUCAAAAAGCGCGUGCACAGGAGAACUUCUUAAGAACAACCUAUUCGUACUCCAAUUGAUUGUUUUGCUGCAAUUGCGUGUAAGGUGCAACGCCAUUUUUCCACUCAAUGAGUGGACAUCGGUGUCCACUCCGGGAGUGGACGUACAUUCCCAGGGUGAGCUGGUGCGCGUGUCCAUUACUCCUAGCCACCUUUUUGGAUGCUUAUUAAUCAAGCAUAGAUAUUCAUAGGAUAUUCUAUGAACAUCCAUUUGAGCAACGUUUAUA
RNAcentral lists this long non-coding RNA (3250 nucleotides) under Volvox carteri. RNAcentral's name for it is "long non-coding RNA (VCAR_LNC001412)". Lineage: Eukaryota; Viridiplantae; Chlorophyta; Chlorophyceae; Chlamydomonadales; Volvocaceae. The record is from RNAcentral.